AGCAGCCGCGGUAAUUCCAGCUCCAAUAGCGUAUAUUAAAGUUGUUGCAGUUAAAAAGCUCGUAGUUGAAUUUCGGGAUCAAUAUGUCGGUCGUGCCUUCGGUACGUACUGGUAUCAUUGGUCUCUCCUUUCUGACGAACCAUGAUGUCAUUAAUUUGGUGUUAUGGGGAGUUAGGACUGUUACUUUGAAAAAAUUAGAGUGUUUAAAGCAGGCUUUAGCUUGAAUACAUUAGCAUGGAAUAGUGAAAUAGGACGUUUGAUUCUAUUUUGUUGGUUUCUAGGAUCGACGUAAUGAUUAAUAGGGAUAGUUGGGGGCAUUAGUAUUCAAUUGUCAGAGGUGAAAUUCUUGGAUUUAUUGAAGACUAACUACUGCGAAAGCAUUUGCCAAGGAUGUUUUCAUUAAUCAAGAACGAAAGUUAGGGGACCGAAGACGAUCAGAUACCGUCGUAG
This 450-nucleotide ribosomal RNA is filed under the name uncultured Glomeromycotina. RNAcentral describes it as "SSU rRNA". It matches the Rfam family "Eukaryotic small subunit ribosomal RNA", at positions 569 to 1023 of the family's 1831-position model. Lineage: Eukaryota; Fungi; Glomeromycota. The record is from RNAcentral.